GGGCCUUCCGGAUGUGGAUCAACUCUCUCGGCAUCGAGCGGCACGUUGACAAUCUCUUCGACCAUCUUCGCGAUGGUGUUCCCAUCUUGCAGACGAUGGAUCAUGUGCAGCCUGGAGUGGUCGA
RNAcentral lists this non-coding RNA (124 nucleotides) under Scyphosphaera apsteinii. The record is from RNAcentral. Lineage: Eukaryota; Haptophyta; Coccosphaerales; Pontosphaeraceae.